Hemiscyllium ocellatum (epaulette shark) is the source of this 330-nucleotide long non-coding RNA. RefSeq lists it as uncharacterized. The transcript has 3 exons. Lineage: Eukaryota; Metazoa; Chordata; Chondrichthyes; Orectolobiformes; Hemiscylliidae. The record is from RefSeq and is a predicted model, not a curated record.
GAGAGAGGGAGAGGGAGAUCAGCGCUGCUCCCUCCAGCGCGGCUCCUGUCUAAAUGCAGGCGAGUGGAAGAUGUGUCUAACGCGCCAAAGAAUGAUGUUCGGGAUACGAUGGGAGCACCCAUUAAAAUGCUGCAAGGCAUCCAGUAUUCGUGGAAAUAAGCUUGCAGUUGCUGUAACAAGCAUGUUAACUGUGAUUGAUUCCAACUGUGAAGGGAAAUGAAUGACAAGGGAAGAUUAAACAAGAGCAUGCUCAACCGUCUCAAGAGAAAAAGGUUAAAAGGAGAGCUCAGUAGGUACAUAAAAUACCAAGUGAGAGAGAUGAGGUGAACA